RNAcentral lists this ribosomal RNA (433 nucleotides) under uncultured bacterium. RNAcentral describes it as "partial 16S ribosomal RNA". It matches the Rfam family "Bacterial small subunit ribosomal RNA", at positions 29 to 507 of the family's 1533-position model. The record is from RNAcentral.
AACGAACGCUGGCGGCAUGCCUAACACAUGCAAGUCGAACGAGACCUUCGGGUCUAGUGGCGCACGGGUGCGUAACGCGUGGGAACCUGCCCUUAGGUUCGGAAUAACUCCCCGAAAGGGGUGCUAAUACCGGAUAAUGUCUUCGGACCAAAGAUUUAUCGCCUUUGGAUGGGCCCGCGUUGGAUUAGCUAGUUGGUAGGGUAAAAGCCUACCAAGGCGACGAUCCAUAGCUGGUCUGAGAGGAUGAUCAGCCACACUGGGACUGAGACACGGCCCAGACUCCUACGGGAAGCAGCAGUGGGGAAUAUUGGACAAUGGGCGAAAGCCUGAUCCAGCAAUGCCGCGUGAGUGAUGAAGGCCUUAGGGUUGUAAAGCUCUUUUACCCGGGAUGAUAAUGACAGUACGGGGAGAAUAAGCUCCGGCUAACUCCGUG